This 333-nucleotide unclassified non-coding RNA is filed under the name uncultured fungus. Its description in RNAcentral is "partial contains small subunit ribosomal RNA, internal transcribed spacer 1, and 5.8S ribosomal RNA". The stretch from base 1 to 73 matches the Rfam family "Eukaryotic small subunit ribosomal RNA", at positions 1759 to 1831 of the family's 1831-position model. Lineage: Eukaryota; Fungi. The record is from RNAcentral.
UCAAACUUGGUCAUUUAGAGGAAGUAAAAGUCGUAACAAGGUUUCCGUAGGUGAACCUGCGGAAGGAUCAUUAACAGUGCCCCAGCCUUGUGCUGGUGGACCGCACCUCUACCCUCUUCUGGGGGUUAUGUGUCAACCAAUUGUGAAACUUCUACCUUUGCUUCGGCAGCGCUCUCAGCGGGAAACCGCUGGAGGGGUAAGGCUGCCAGAAGCCCAUUACAAAACUAGUUGAUGAAAUGUCAUGCUGUCUGAUAACCACUAUUUGAGAAAUCAAAUUAUAUUAAAACUUUCAGCAACGGAUCUCUUGGUUCUCGCAUCGAUGAAGAACGCAGC